Molecule: unclassified non-coding RNA, 293 nt
Filed under: Melitaea cinxia (Glanville fritillary)
Lineage: Eukaryota; Metazoa; Arthropoda; Insecta; Lepidoptera; Nymphalidae
Description: misc RNA ENSMCXG00005008125.1
Source: RNAcentral
AGUGUGCUCGAUAUGUUGAAAACUUUUGGCGUGUGAAGAAAUUAGUUUCAGUAAAGAAAUAGGGGUGUACAUAAACAUAUAAAGUUAGUGUUAAAUUAAAUAGUAUUAAUUACAUAUUACAAAACGUGUGCAAAAUAAUUUUACAUGUGUACCAAAUUAAUUAGGAUAAAUUAUAUAAUAUUGACUACAAAAAAAAAAAAAAAAAAAAAAAAAAAAAAAAAAAAAAAAAAAAAAAAAAAAAAAAAAAAAAAAAAAAAAAAAAAAAAAAAAACAGAGAUCAAGUAAGUCACGUC